UUUGAUAUCUACAAUUUAUAAGUGCCAAAUGAUAAGUCAAUUUGCAGAGUUGAUAUUAUGUAAUUAGAUAAUAGUAUAUUCAAAAUAUACUCCCACUAUUUUAUUCAAAUUAAUAGCCCUAACCAUUAACUCGAAAAGCAUUUUUCUAUUAAAUCUUUCUAGUGAGCCAAGAUCCAUAUUUCAUUAUGACUUAAGUUAGCUUUGGCUAAUCUCUUAAAACACAAUUAUUUAGGUAGACAACGUUUUUGUCAAUUAUAUCAUAUAUAACUCUUGGAUAGUUUGGUAAACAACAUUUGUUUCUAGUCCAUCUAAUGGUACCCACCAAACUCUAUGCCUCUAAGUCCUCAAUCCUAUUGAGAUAACUUAGUUAAGUCAGGCCCAAUGAUUUUAACAGUUUGGAUAUCACAAUUAUCCUAUCGCAUCUUACCAAGAUAAAUAGGGUACUCUGCUUUGGCAAACCUACAUCUAUUGAUCAAAGUCUUGAUGAGUGUUUUUCAUUGGAAGGCAUCUGAUUUAGACUUAAUAAUUUAAUGAGGGAUUUUAUUAAUUAAUUCAGAUCUCACCAAUUUUAAUCUCAUUAAACAUGCACAUUAUUUAUCAC
This 601-nucleotide long non-coding RNA is filed under the name Panax ginseng (ginseng). RNAcentral describes it as "long non-coding RNA (PGIN_LNC002497)". The record is from RNAcentral. Lineage: Eukaryota; Viridiplantae; Streptophyta; Magnoliopsida; Apiales; Araliaceae.